UUUGACUUCUGCCUAGAAGCUUGGGC
RNAcentral lists this non-coding RNA (26 nucleotides) under Cricetulus griseus (Chinese hamster). Lineage: Eukaryota; Metazoa; Chordata; Mammalia; Rodentia; Cricetidae. The record is from RNAcentral.